UUAGGGUGCCUAUGGGGCUUAAUAGGGAAUCGGGUGGAAAUCCCGGACAGUUCCCGCUGCUGUAAACUCUUAAUUUUGUCAUUAUGCCACUGAAAAGCCUUGCUUUUUGGGAAGGCGGCGAAACCAAAGGAGUAAGUCAGAAGACCUGCCAAAAUUCGUA
This 160-nucleotide non-coding RNA is filed under the name human gut metagenome. The record is from RNAcentral.